Molecule: ribosomal RNA, 408 nt
Filed under: uncultured bacterium
Lineage: Bacteria
Description: partial 16S ribosomal RNA
Rfam family: Bacterial small subunit ribosomal RNA
Source: RNAcentral
AGUGAACGCUGGCGGCGUGCCUAACACAUGCAAGUCGAACGGAGUGGCGCACGGGUGUGUAAUAUAUAGCUAACUUGCCCAUUACUAAGGGACAACAGUUGGAAACGACUGCUAAUACAUUAUAGAAAUGGUUAGGGCUAUAUCGUAUCAGCUAGUUGGUAAGGUAACGGCUUACCAAGGCUAUGACGCGUAACUGGCCUGAGAGGAUGAUCAGUCACACUGUAACUGAGGCACGAUCCGUACUCCUUCCGCAUGGAGCAGUAGGGAAUAAUGCUCAAUGUGGGAAACCCUGAAGCAGCUACGCCUCGUGGAGUAUGACACUUUUCGGAGCGUAAACUCCUUUUAUUGGGAAAGCGGUACCCAAAGAAUAAGCACCGGCUAACUCCGUGCCAGCAGCCGCGGUAAUUC